RNAcentral lists this long non-coding RNA (2121 nucleotides) under Erythranthe guttata (spotted monkey flower). Its description in RNAcentral is "long non-coding RNA (EGUT_LNC002985)". The record is from RNAcentral. Lineage: Eukaryota; Viridiplantae; Streptophyta; Magnoliopsida; Lamiales; Phrymaceae.
CGCAGAAUCACACAACUUCUAGUUUUCUUCCCUUUCUCUUUCUUUCCCCAAUAUCUAAUUCAUAGCCCAUUUAAAUUACAGGCCAAUUUUCGGCAGAGACUCGCAAAAGAAUUCGAAGAGCACAACCCAUUCCGUAUAAAAUGCAUUCGAGGUAAAACUUUUUCCCCGUUAUUAGUUUUUUUUCUAGGGUUUUAAUUGUUGUUCCUUGUAUUUUUGGGAUUAAUAUGCGGAAUAUGUAUUGGAUUUUCGAUUUCUUUUCUGAUGAAAUUAAGAAACUUCAUUUUUUUUUGUGGUAUUAGUUUAUUGAACACAUCAAUUUGUUCAGAUUUAUUUGCACACAACUCAAUUAUAUUGAUUUUGAGUUAUUUUUAGAUGGAAUUGAAAUGAGUUAUGUUCUUUUGUUUUUCAACUGUAAUGAGUGUAAUGUUGAAUUAAUAAUGUUUAUAUUUCAGUUUAUUGAAGACGUGUAUAGUCUAUUCCUUGAAUCAAUUUAUAUAUAAUUUUGCAGCCCGUAUAAAACUUUGUCUAGUUAAUUACAUCUUAUAUCUUUCAUUUGAGUGAAUAUAUAUAUAUAUAUAUAUAUAUAUAUAUAUAUAUAUAUAUAUAUAUAUAUAUAUAUAUAUAUAUAUAUAUAUAUAUAUAUAUAUAUAUAUAUAUAUAUAUAUGUGUGUGUGUGUGUGAAUGAAAGUGUUUUUCAUCAUACUAUUCGUAGACAGACAAGUCAUGUUGUCAACGAAUUAUUGUCUUUACUUCUAAUAACUCUAAUGAAAGUCUUAGAAGGAUAAACAUUAUGGUUAGAAUUGUAGAAUUGUUUCUCUUAUGUUAUAUUCCCACCGAGUUGUCUAGUGUUUGGGCAUUUAUGAGAUGUUGCUACAGCUAUUGAGUCCAAAUAAAAAUGUUAAAAUUGAAACAAAAUUGGUUGAUCUUUUAUUUCGACCGAGUUGAAAGAACAAUAAAAACAUGUUAAUCUUGCAUACCUUACAAAUAAGAGGUAUAUAGCAGUUCCCUUUGUUGAUAAAGUAUUGAAAAAUACUUAGUAGUGGUUUCUUGUUUUUUAGUUCCAAAGAGUUUUUUUAAUUAUAGUAACUGCUAUUUUUCAGCUUUUAAAAAGGUCUGUAGGUGUUUCCAACAACUUCAGCGAGGUGGUACCUAUUGGAUAAAUUGCUCCAAUGUGCUCUACAAUGUGAGAUAAAGUUACUUAUUUCGGUACAUUGGAAUAAUUUGAUCUCCUCUUUCUAUUAAUUUCGAAGAAUUAUUACUUGUAGCUUAAGUGGUUGUUAUAUUCCUUUACUUCAGUUGGCUUAUGAGAAGAUUGUUACUUUGUCAAAUUCUAGAUUUAUAUAUGAGAUGGUGCUUAGCAAAGGUAAAGAGUUAACUUUGUUUGGUUUUUAUUCCAUAUAAUGUGAGUAUGUUUCAUAUAUAAUUACUGAUAAUAAGUGUUUUCAUUCUUGCAUAUUUAGAUGAUAGGGGCUACAAACAAAAGAUAACAGAUAAUACGGAUGCAUCAUUUUACUUGAACAGGAGUUUCGCUCAAGGGUAUGUAACUGUUUUUCUUUUGUAAGUGUAGAUCCACUAAAAUACGUUUGUUUGCUCUAUUAUUUUGUUAAUUGAAAUAAUUUACAUGUAUCAGUUAUAAAUUGAAUUGUAGCAGUCAAAAUAACCUAAACAUGCAGUAAAUUGCUGAUUGAGAGAUGUACUUCCAGAAAUUUGCAGAAACUUCAUCUGAAGGUUUGUCCACUAAGCAUAAUUAUACUAUUGGUACUAAAUCAUAAUUUAUCUUGGUUUGAUUGAUUACUUUCCUUCACUUGGAAAUUGUUGUUGAGAUUUUCUAUAUGUUCGAAUUUAUGAAUACCAGGUCUGCAGAUGAAUGGCAUUUUCACGAGUGGAAGGGUACAACUGAGUACAAGAAGCAGUCCAGAACAUUUAUAAUUAUUCUAUUUUGAGUUACCAUGAUAUCAAAACUUAUGCCAAUAGAUGUAACCUCGUGAGUUGAGUAUGGUAAAAUACAUUUGUUCUUUUUGUUAAAAUAUACAGACCCCAUGUAUAAUUGGGAAUUUUGGUGGUGAACAAUAGUUUGACAGAUACAAGUACACAAAACUCGUAAGGCUGUUUUUACUAUCA